AGUCAGUGGAUGAUUGCAGGAUAUUCCAUCAGUUAUCAGCAGUUGUACCACUGAUUUG
RNAcentral lists this microRNA precursor (58 nucleotides) under Lottia gigantea (owl limpet). Its description in RNAcentral is "Lgi-Mir-1992-P2_pre stem-loop". The record is from RNAcentral. Lineage: Eukaryota; Metazoa; Mollusca; Gastropoda; Lottiidae.